RNAcentral lists this ribosomal RNA (503 nucleotides) under uncultured bacterium. RNAcentral's name for it is "partial 16S ribosomal RNA". It matches the Rfam family "Bacterial small subunit ribosomal RNA", at positions 30 to 523 of the family's 1533-position model. The record is from RNAcentral.
AUUGAACGCUGGCGGCAGGCUUAACACAUGCAAGUCGAGCGGGGUGAUGGUGCUUGCACUAUCACUUAGCGGCGGACGGGUGAGUAAUGCUUAGGAAUCUGCCUAUUAGUGGGGGACAACAUCUCGAAAGGGAUGCUAAUACCGCAUACGUCCUACGGGAGAAAGCAGGGGAUCACUUGUGACCUUGCGCUAAUAGAUGAGCCUAAGUCGGAUUAGCUAGUUGGUGGGGUAAAGGCCUACCAAGGCGACGAUCUGUAGCGGGGUUGAGAGGAUGAGCCGCCAAACUGGGACUGAGACACGGCCCAGACUCCUGCGGGAGGCAGCAGUGGGGGAUAUUGGACAAUGGGGGGAACCCUGAUCCAGCCAUGCCGGGUGUGUGAAGAAGGCCUUAUGGUUGUAAAGCACUUUAAGCGAGGAGGAGGCUCUUUUGGUUAAUACCCAAGAUGAGUGGACGUUACUCGCAGAAUAAGCACCGGCUAACUCUGUGCCAGCCGCCGCCGUAA